RNAcentral lists this ribosomal RNA (450 nucleotides) under uncultured Entrophospora. Its description in RNAcentral is "SSU rRNA". It matches the Rfam family "Eukaryotic small subunit ribosomal RNA", at positions 569 to 1018 of the family's 1831-position model. The record is from RNAcentral. Lineage: Eukaryota; Fungi; Glomeromycota; Glomeromycetes; Entrophosporales; Entrophosporaceae.
AGCAGCCGCGGUAAUUCCAGCUCCAAUAGCGUAUAUUAAAGUUGUUGCAGUUAAAAAGCUCGUAGUUGAAUUUCGGGAUUGACAUGUUGGUCGUGCCUUAAGGGGUAUGAACUGGCAUUGUCGAUUUCUCACCUUCUGGAGAAUCACGAUGCUCUUAAUUGGGUGUCGUGUGGAUCCAGGACCUUUACCUUGAAAAAUUAGAGUGUUUAAAGCAGGCAUUUUGCUCGAAUACAUUAGCAUGGAAUAAUAAAAUAGGACGGCUUGGUUCUAUUUUGUUGGUUUCUAGGAUCACCGUAAUGAUUAAUAGGGAUAGUUGGGGGCAUUAGUAUUCAAUUGUCAGAGGUGAAAUUCUUGGAUUUAUUGAAGACUAACUACUGCGAAAGCAUUUGCCAAGGAUGUUUUCAUUAAUCAAGAACGAAAGUUAGGGGAUCGAAGACGAUCAGAUACCGU